CACAGCGAUGUGAUGCUAAUCUCCAAACCAUGUCUCAGUUCGGAUCGGAGUCUGCAACUCGACUCCGUGAAGCUGGAUUCGCUAGUAAUCGCGCAUCAGCCAUGGCGCGGUGAAUACGUUCCCGGGCCUUGUACACACCGCCCGUCAAGCCAUGGGAGCCGGGGGUACCUGAAGUCCGUAACCGCGAGGAUCGGCCUAGGGUAAAACUGGUGACUGGGGCUAAGUCGUAACAAGGUAGC
This 239-nucleotide ribosomal RNA is filed under the name uncultured bacterium. RNAcentral's name for it is "partial 16S ribosomal RNA". It matches the Rfam family "Bacterial small subunit ribosomal RNA", at positions 1253 to 1500 of the family's 1533-position model. The record is from RNAcentral.